AGAAUCAACGCUGGCGGCGUGCCUAACACAUGCAAGUCGAACGAGAAAGUGGAGCAAUCCAUGAGUAAAGUGGCGACCGGGUGAGUAACACGUGACUAACCUACCCUCGAGUGUGGAAUAACAUCGGGAAACCGAUGCUAAUACCGCAUAACAUCGCAAGAUCAAAGGAGCAAUCCGCUUGAGGAGGGGGUCGCGGCUGAUUAGCUAGUUGGCGGGGUAACGGCCCACCAAGGCGAAGAUCGGUAGCCGGCCUGAGAGGGCGCACGGCCACACUGGAACUGAAACACGGUCCAGACUCCUACGGGAGGCAGCAGUGGGGAAUUUUGCGCAAUGGGGGAAACCCUGACGCAGCAACGCCGCGUGGAGGAUGAAGCCCCUUGGGGUGUAAACUCCUUUCGAUCGGGACGAUGAUGACGGUACCGGAUGAAGAAGCACCGGCUAACUCUGUGCCAGCAGCCGCGGUAAUACAGAGGGUGCAAGCGUUGUUCGGAAUUAUUGGGCGUAAAGGGUGCGUAGGCGGUGCGGUAAGUCUGUUGUGAAAUCUCCGGGCUCAACUCGGAGCCUGCAACGGAAACUGCCGUGCUGGAGUAUGGGAGAGGUGAGUGGGAUUUCCCGGUGUAGCGGUGAAAUGCGUAGAUAUCGGGAGGAACACCUGUGGCGAAAGCGGCUCACUGGACCAUUACUGACGCUGAUGCACGAAAGCUAGGGGAGCGAACAGGAUUAGAUACCCUGGUAGUCCUAGCCCUAAACGAUGAUCGCUUGGUGUGACAGGUACCCAAUCCUGUCGUGCCGGAGCUAACGCGUUAAGCGAUCCGCCUGGGGAGUACGGUCGCAAGGCUGAA
Molecule: ribosomal RNA, 842 nt
Filed under: uncultured bacterium
Lineage: Bacteria
Description: bacterial SSU rRNA
Rfam family: Bacterial small subunit ribosomal RNA
Source: RNAcentral